RNAcentral lists this ribosomal RNA (323 nucleotides) under uncultured eukaryote. RNAcentral describes it as "partial 18S ribosomal RNA". It matches the Rfam family "Eukaryotic small subunit ribosomal RNA", at positions 1470 to 1796 of the family's 1831-position model. The record is from RNAcentral.
CCCUUAGAUGUUCUGGGCUGCACGCGUGCUACACUGAUAUUGCCAAUAUGUCAUUCUUAUCCGAAAUGGAUUGGGUAAUCAAGUAAUGAAAUUUCAUGCUUGGAAUCGGUAAUUGCAAUUUUAUCGUGAACGAGGAAUUCCUAGUAAGCACUAGUCAUCAGCUAAUGUUGAUUAUGUCCCUGCCCUUUGUACACACCGCCCGUCGCUACUACUGAUUGGGUGUUCAAGUGAGAUGCUUAGACCCUUGUUGCAUGGUUCAUCAUUGUGCUCCGAAAGGAAAAAGUUUCAAGCUUGAGUGUCUAGAGGAAGUAAAAGUCGUAACA